This 386-nucleotide ribosomal RNA is filed under the name uncultured Candidatus Brocadia sp. RNAcentral's name for it is "bacterial SSU rRNA". It matches the Rfam family "Bacterial small subunit ribosomal RNA", at positions 392 to 768 of the family's 1533-position model. Lineage: Bacteria; Pseudomonadati; Planctomycetota; Candidatus Brocadiia; Candidatus Brocadiales; Candidatus Brocadiaceae. The record is from RNAcentral.
CGACGCCGCGUGCGGGAAGAAGGCCUUCGGGUUGUAAACCGCUGUCGGGAGUUAAGAAGUGCAGGGAUGCUAAUAGUAUUCUUACUUGACUAAGGCUCCGGAGGAAGCCACGGCUAACUCUGUGCCAGCAGCCGCGGUAAUACAGAGGCGGCAAGCGUUGUUCGGAAUUAUUGGGCGUAAAGAGCAUGUAGGCGGCUAUGUAAGUCGGUUGUGAAAGCCUUCCGCUUGACGGAAGAAUGGCGGCCGAAACUGCAUGGCUUGAGUGCGGUAGGGGAGAGUGGAACUUCUGGUGGAGCGGUGAAAUGCGUAGAUAUCAGAAGGAACGCCGGCGGCGAAAGCGACUCUCUGGACCGUAACUGACGCUGAGUGUGCGAAAGCUAGGGGAG